This 27-nucleotide small RNA is filed under the name Bombyx mori (domestic silkworm). RNAcentral's name for it is "ovarian small RNA-19421". Lineage: Eukaryota; Metazoa; Arthropoda; Insecta; Lepidoptera; Bombycidae. The record is from RNAcentral.
UAAGUGAAGGUGAUUGCGAUGCUAAUA